UGAAAAAGCGCACUCAAGUAAAUAAAAGCAGAGACUAAAACUCGUACCUUUUGCAUCAUGAUCUAGCCAGUACCCCCAAGCAAAGAGCCCUCUAGUUUGAAACCCCGAAACCGGACGAGCUACUCCGGGACAGCCUAUUAUAGGGCCAACCCGUCUCUGUGGCAAAAGAGUGGGAAGAUCCCCGAGUAGAGGUGAAAGACCUACCGAGUCAGGUUAUAGCUGGUUGCUCAAGAAAUGAAUAGAAGUUCAGCCCCAUAAUACCCUUAACCAAAAUAGUCCUACUUAAAUUAGGCAUGAGGAUAACCAUGGGAGUUAGUCAAAGGAGGUACAGCUCCCUUAACCAAGGACACAACCUUCACAGGAGGCUAAGAAAUACAAUCAAUUAAAGGCCACAGGUUUCGGUGGGCCUAAAAGCAGCCAUCCGCAUAGAAAGCGUUAAAGCUCAAACCACAAUUUAAGCCUAUUAUAACAUUAAAUCACCAACAACGCCCCUAAUUUAUACCGAGCCCUUCUAUGCCCCCAUAGAAGAGACCCUGCUAGAACGAGUAAUAAGAAGAACGAACUUCUCCCUGCACAUGUGUAAGUCGAAUCGGACCCACCAUCGACAAUUAACGAACCCAACAAAAGAGGAAAAUGCAUAACUGCCCAAUAAAGCCAAGAAAACCACGCAAAACCCAAUCGUUACCCCCACACAGGAGUGCUUAGUUAAAGGGAAAGACUUAAAGAAUAAAAAGGAACUCGGCAAACCCAAACCCCGCCUGUUUACCAAAAACAUCGCCUCCUGCCCACAACAAUAUAGGAGGUCCCGCCUGCCCUGUGACCAAAAGUUUAACGGCCGCGGUAUUUUAACCGUGCAAAGGUAGCGCAAUCAAUUGUCUUUUAAAUGGAGACCUGUAUGAAUGGCAUAACGAGGGUUUAACUGUCUCUUUUUUCCAGUCAAUGAAACUGAUCUGCCCGUGCAGAAGCGGGCAUAUUAACACAAGACGAGAAGACCCUAUGGAGCUUUAGACGCCCACCAACUAUGAAAAGAGACCAGAUUAAUGGAAGCCCAAACAACAUAGCCCUGGCACAAACGUCUUCGGUUGGGGCGACCACGGGGGAAAAUAAAGCCCCCAAGAGGACAGGGGAACACCCUAGAACCAAGAGUUACAGCUCUAAGUCACAAAACAUUUGACCGAUUAAUGAUCCGGCCCACGCCGAUCAACGAACCAAGUUACCCUAGGGAUAACAGCGCAAUCCCCUCCCAGAGUCCAUAUCGACGAGGGGGUUUACGACCUCGAUGUUGGAUCAGGACAUCCUAAUGGUGCAGCCGCUAUUAA
RNAcentral lists this ribosomal RNA (1319 nucleotides) under Pellonula leonensis (smalltoothed pellonula). RNAcentral's name for it is "partial 16S ribosomal RNA". It matches the Rfam family "Bacterial large subunit ribosomal RNA", at positions 539 to 2568 of the family's 2925-position model. Lineage: Eukaryota; Metazoa; Chordata; Actinopteri; Clupeiformes; Clupeidae. The record is from RNAcentral.